This 891-nucleotide ribosomal RNA is filed under the name uncultured archaeon. RNAcentral's name for it is "bacterial SSU rRNA". It matches the Rfam family "Archaeal small subunit ribosomal RNA", at positions 25 to 922 of the family's 1478-position model. The record is from RNAcentral.
GACUGCUAUCGGAUUGAUACUAAGCCAUGCGAGUCUUUGCAGUAAUGCAAGGCAUACGGCUCAGUAACACGUAGUCAACUUACCCUAUGGACGAGGAUAAUCUCGGGAAACUGAGCAUAAUACUCGAUAGAUCAUAAUGCCUGGAAUGGUUUAUGGUUGAAAUGAUUCGUCGCCAUAGGAUAGGACCGCGGCCUAUCAGCUUGUUGGUGAGGUAAUGGCCCACCAAGGCGAUUACAGGUACGGGCUCUGAGAGGAGAAGCCCGGAGAUGGGUACUGAGACAAGGACCCAGGCCCUAUGGGGCGCAGCAGGCGAGAAAACUUUGCAAUGUGCGAAAGCACGACAAGGUUAAUCCGAGUGAUUUCUGCUAAAGAAAUCUUUUGCAAGUCAUAAAACCACUAGUGAAUAAGGGGUGGGCAAGUUCUGGUGUCAGCCGCCGCGGUAAAACCAGCACCUCAAGUGGUCAGGAGGAUUAUUGGGCCUAAAGCAUCCGUAGCCGGCUCUGUAAGUUUUCGGUUAAAUCCAUGUGCUCAACGCAUGGGCUGUCGAAAAUACUGCAUAGCUAGGGAGUGGGAGAGGUAGACGGUACUCGGUAGGAAGGGGUAAAAUCCUUUGAUCUAUCGAUGACCACCUGUGGCGAAGGCGGUCUACCAGAACACGUUCGACGGUGAGGGAUGAAGGCUGGGGGAGCAAACCGGAUUAGAUACCCGGGUAGUCCCAGCUGUAAACGAUGCAGACUCGAUGAUGCAUUGGCAUAUAGCCAGUGCAGUGUCGCAGGGAAGCCGUUAAGUCUGCCGCCUGGGAAGUACGUACGCAAGUAUGAAACUUAAAGGAAUUGGCGGGGGAGCACCACAAGGGGUGAAGCCUGCGGUUCAAUUGGAUUCAACGCCGGG